CCAAGGGUGCUAGAACUUUCCCCAUGUGCUUUCACAUUUGUCUCUCACUCUUUCUGUGUUCUUUGAUCUCUUCUGAUUUCCAUGAGUCUGCUUGCAUGUUUUCUAUUCAAUUAUCAUUCCUUUGACUAAUUCACUUCUCUAUUUUGUCAGGAGACAGGCAAAAAGUUCUGCAGCAGCUGCCUCAGCCCUGGACCUUCUCGGGGCAGCGGCCCGAGCGGCCGUGACAACCUGAUGGGCCGUGGAAGGGUUUCUCUCCGCUCCCACAGACUGCCCCAGAUUACGGGAAUGAAAUACCAGAGUGUGAGGAAAGGGAACAACAGUCUCUCAGCUCUUCUGCCUCAUUCUCAGCAUCCAGCCCAGAAUGCAGCUCCUGGAUUUCUCAGCCCAAUCUGUGGAGAUUUAACCCCCUGCUGCAGCCAUCAUCACAGAAUUCUGGGAAUUAACAUAUGUUAAAUGUGGUUUCUAUUUAUAUAUAUUGAAUCCUAGUACCAUUUAUCAAAUCCACUCUUUCUCUACUCCUCUUAAAUAUCAAUACUGUCAUCUAUCAAGGUUUCAUAUGUACAUUGGUCUAUUUCUGAGGUUUCUAUUUGAUUCCACUGAUGUCUGCCUGUUCCUUAGCCAGUCUCACAGUUUUAAGUGUAUAAUAUUUUCUAUAACAGUAGUAAUUCUAUAAUGUAUAGUACUUUCAUCAGAAAUUAAUUGGAGUUUGAAUUAAUUUUAAUUUGGAUAGAAUUAACAUUUUUAUAAUAGCUAUACUUAUCAAUGGAUACUGCAUUUCAUGAUAUUUUAUUGGCUAUAGAAUGAUAGACAUAAUUUAAAUAUAAUAAUGUUUUCUCCAUAAAAUUACACACUAUUUGUUAUAUUUAAAUGAUAUAUAAUCUGCAUGUGUGUCAGAAAUCAUAUCUUAUUUAAAAUUGUAUUUCCUAACUUAUGUUGCUAGUUGAUUGGAGCAUAAAUUAUUUAGUUAUAUUGUAUGUACAUUUAGCAAUCUUAAUGAAUUAUCUUAUUGGCUAAUGUUAAUGCAUGAAAUGUUUUUGCUUCUUCUUCUUCUCAAUUUUAUUCUCACAAAAUUUUCUAGGACCUACAGAGAAAUGUGGGCUAGAAAUGAUGAUAUUGGUUAUUCUGGCUUGGUUCCACAUUUAAAGAAUUUUUAGCCAAUAUUUCAAAAUUAAAUAUUGUAUUUUUACAUGCCUUUAAUAAAUCAUCUUUUGGGGUUAAAUACCUUCCACUCUAUUCCUUGUGUACUAAGUUUGUCUUUUCCUUCCUUCUUGCUUUUUUUGCUUUUGCCUUAAAUGGUUGUUAAAUCUUAUUAAGUUUUAUAAUCCAUUAGACUCAUAAAGCAAAAAACUUAGACAUUGUUUUCAUGUUCUAUCUCCAAACCUCAAAAUGACACAUAGCAACUAUUCAGUAUGUAUCCAUUGGUGAAUUAAUUAUUACAACUUUUUUUUUCCUGUCUGUUGAGAUGAUCAUUUAUGCCUUUUAAAACUUAAUGUGGUGAAUUAUAUUGAGAUAUUCUAACAAGAAUUAGUCCAUUUCUUGAGUAAAAUUGACUUCAUCAUGAUAUAUUGCAUUUUUUUUAUAUUGCUGAAUUUAAUUUCCUAACAUAUGCUUAGGUAUGUUACAUCGUUGUUCAAAAGCGAAAUGAGACUUUGCUCUUCUGUACCAUUCUUAUUCAAUUUGACACAAAAUUAUUCUGACAAAAUAAAAGGAAAUCAUACUCUUUCUGAACUCUAAAAGUGUUUAUAUAUGACAGAAAUAUCUUGCAUGUUAACUUCAACAUUCCGGAAAAAUAUCUUGACCUGAUUUGUUACAUGAAUUAAUGUUUAAUAACAAAUAAUAAUUAUGUUUGUAUAAUGAUCUUAAGGUAAUUCAAGUGUUGCAUUUCUUAUGUCAUUUUCAUAUUAUGUUUCUAGAAAAUUAUCCCAGUGGUAUAAAUUUUCAAACUUACUGAUGUAGUUUAUCAUUUACCCUUAUUUUUCUAUAUAAUUGCAAUAUAUAUUUAUGGACUUUUUCUCUUUUCUGGUGUUAUUUUCUUGAUUAUUUGAAUAUUUGUCUUUGUGAAAUCUUUUAACCACAAGAACUGUAAUUCCCAAACCUUUAAUUAAUAGAAAUUUUCCCUACGUCUUUUCUUUAGGAGAAAUAGCCAAAUAUAAAAAUAUCAAUACUGUAAAUAAAG
Manis javanica (Malayan pangolin) is the source of this 2176-nucleotide non-coding RNA. Lineage: Eukaryota; Metazoa; Chordata; Mammalia; Pholidota; Manidae. The record is from RefSeq and is a predicted model, not a curated record.